ACGAAGGGGGCUAGCGUUGUUCGGAAUUACUGGGCGUAAAGCGCACGUAGGCGGUUUUCCAAGUUGGAGGUGAAAUCCCUGGGCUCAACCCGGGAACUGCCUCCAAAACUGGAUCACUCGAGUCCGAGAGAGGUGAGUGGAAUUUCCAGUGUAGAGGUGAAAUUCGUAGAUAUUGGAAAGAACACCAGUGGCGAAGGCGGCUCACUGGCUCGGUACUGACGCUGAGGUGCGACAGCGUGGGGAGCAAACAG
This 251-nucleotide ribosomal RNA is filed under the name uncultured prokaryote. RNAcentral describes it as "partial 16S rRNA". It matches the Rfam family "Bacterial small subunit ribosomal RNA", at positions 525 to 775 of the family's 1533-position model. The record is from RNAcentral.